UGGCUCAGGACGAACGCUGGCGGCGUGCUUAACACAUGCAAGUUGAACGGUAUGACAUGGAAGCUUGCUGAAGUGUCAGUAUAGUAGCGGACGGGUGAGUAAUGCAUGAGAAGCUGCCAUUGGGAGGGGGACAACAGUUGGAAACGGCUGCUAAUACCCCGUAUGCCGGAGGGUGAAAGGGAGUAAUCCGCCCGAUGAGGUGCUCAUGUCCUAUCAGCUGGUUGGUGGGGUAACGGCCUACCAAGGCGACGACGGGUAGCCGGCCUGAGGGGGUGAACGGCCACACUGGAACUGAGAUACGGUCCAGACUCCGUACGGGAGGCAGCAGUGGGGAAUAUUUGGGGCAAUGGGGGCAACCCUGACCCAGCGACGCCGCGUGGGGGAAGACGGCCUUCGGGUUGUAAACCUCUUUUGUACGGGAAGAAGGAAGUGACGGUUACUGUACGAAUAAGUCCCGGCUAACUACGUGCCAGCCGCAGC
This 480-nucleotide ribosomal RNA is filed under the name uncultured bacterium. Its description in RNAcentral is "bacterial SSU rRNA". It matches the Rfam family "Bacterial small subunit ribosomal RNA", at positions 20 to 518 of the family's 1533-position model. The record is from RNAcentral.